RNAcentral lists this long non-coding RNA (361 nucleotides) under Fragaria vesca (wild strawberry). Its description in RNAcentral is "long non-coding RNA (FVES_LNC002111)". The record is from RNAcentral. Lineage: Eukaryota; Viridiplantae; Streptophyta; Magnoliopsida; Rosales; Rosaceae.
GUCUACAAGUCUCCCCCUCCACCAUCUCCUUCACCUCCUCCUCCCCAUACUCACUCUCCUCCCCCACACUACUACAAAUCCCCUCCACCUCCUCGCCACUACAAGUCCCCUCCACCUCCUCGCCACUACAAGUCCCCUCCACCACCACAUCCUCGCCACUACAAGUCCCCUCCACCUCCACCUCCACCUCCUCGCCACUACAAGUCCCCUCCACCUCCUCGCCACUACUAAGCCUAUUUACGGCUACAGUUACAUAAAACAACUUGAAUUUUCAUAUCUACCAUGUAAUAUCAUAUCUAUUGUAAAGCAUAACUCGGUGUAUUACUUAUUUAAAUAAAUAAAAGCGAAGCAAAUGAUUAAU